This 60-nucleotide transfer RNA is filed under the name human gut metagenome. It matches the Rfam family "tRNA", at positions 8 to 63 of the family's 71-position model. From Rfam's summary of the family: Transfer RNA (tRNA) molecules are approximately 80 nucleotides in length. The record is from RNAcentral.
AUUAGCUCAGCUGGCAGAGCAUUUGACUUUUAAUCAAAGGGCCCGGGGUUCGAAUCCCCG